Small nucleolar RNA from Ornithorhynchus anatinus (platypus), 137 nucleotides. NCBI's taxonomy places the organism in Eukaryota, Metazoa, Chordata, Mammalia, Monotremata, Ornithorhynchidae. The record is from RefSeq and is a predicted model, not a curated record.
CCCCUCUCAGGGUCACACCUGGAGAGUUUCCAAUAGUCUACCAGGCUUGACUUUGGGAGGAGAAUCAAGCAGAGUCAUAUUCAUUCCAUUUCUAGCUUGGGCAAUGGCUAGAGAGUGGAAGGCAAUCUGCUACAAGG